GAGAGUUUGAUCCUGGCUCAGAACGAACGCUGGCGGCAUGCCUAACACAUGCAAGUCGAACGAGACCUUCGGGUCUAGUGGCGCACGGGUGCGUAACGCGUGGGAACCUGCCCUUAGGUUCGGAAUAACUCAGAGAAAUUUGAGCUAAUACCGGAUAAUGUCUUCGGACCAAAGAUUUAUCGCCUUUGGAUGGGCCCGCGUUGGAUUAGCUAGUUGGUGGGGUAAAGGCCUACCAAGGCGACGAUC
RNAcentral lists this ribosomal RNA (246 nucleotides) under Umezakia ovalisporum. Its description in RNAcentral is "Chrysosporum ovalisporum partial 16S ribosomal RNA". It matches the Rfam family "Bacterial small subunit ribosomal RNA", at positions 7 to 281 of the family's 1533-position model. The record is from RNAcentral. Lineage: Bacteria; Bacillati; Cyanobacteriota; Cyanophyceae; Nostocales; Nodulariaceae.